ACCCGCUGAACUUAAGCAUAUCAAUAAGCGGAGGAAAAGAAACCAACAGGGAUUGCCUUAGUAACGGCGAGUGAAGCGGCAAUAGCUCAAAUUUGAAAGCUGGCCCCUUCGGGGUCCGCGUUGUAAUUUGUAGAGGAUGAUUCGGCGAGGGCUCCCGUCUAAGUCCCUUGGAACAGGGCGUCAUAGAGGGUGAGAAUCCCGUAUGUGAUGGGCUGCCUUAGCCAUGUGAAUCUCCUUCGACGAGUCGAGUUGUUUGGGAAUGCAGCUCUAAAUGGGAGGUAAAUUUCUUCUAAAGCUAAAUACCGGCCAGAGACCGAUAGCGCACAAGUAGAGUGAUCGAAAGAUGAAAAGCACUUUGGAAAGAGAGUUAAAAAGUACGUGAAAUUGUUGAAAGGGAAGCGCUUGCAGCCAGACUUGUCCGCAGUUGCUCAGCUUGUCUCCUGACAGGCGUACUCUUCUGCGGCCAGGCCAGCAUCAGUUCGGGCGGUCGGAUAAAGACCUGGGGAAUGUAGCUCCUCUCGGGGAGUGUUAUAGCCCUGGGUGCAAUGCGGCCAGCCUGGACUGAGGAUCUCGCUUCGGCUAGGAUGCUGGCGUAAUGGCUGUAAGCGGCCCGUCUUGAAACACGGACCAAGGAGUCUAACAUCUAUGCGAGUGUUUGGGUGUCAAACCCAUGCGCGUAAUGAAAGUGAACGGAGGUGGGAACCCUCACGGGUGCACCAUCGACCGAUCCUGAUGUCUUCGGAUGGAUUUGAGUAAGAGCAUAGCUGUUGGGACCCGAAAGAUGGUGAACUAUGCCUGAAUAGGGUGAAGCCAGAGGAAACUCUGGUGGAGGCUCGCAGCGGUUCUGACGUGCAAAUCGAUCGUCAAAUUUGGGUAUAGGGGCGAAAGACUAAUCGAACCAUCUAGUAGCUGCUUCAAAGGGAGUCCU
RNAcentral lists this ribosomal RNA (928 nucleotides) under Neofusicoccum parvum. RNAcentral's name for it is "partial large subunit ribosomal RNA". It matches the Rfam family "Eukaryotic large subunit ribosomal RNA", at positions 23 to 969 of the family's 3401-position model. Lineage: Eukaryota; Fungi; Ascomycota; Dothideomycetes; Botryosphaeriales; Botryosphaeriaceae. The record is from RNAcentral.